RNAcentral lists this transfer RNA (69 nucleotides) under Sphaerodactylus townsendi. RNAcentral describes it as "tRNA-Ala". It matches the Rfam family "tRNA". From Rfam's summary of the family: Transfer RNA (tRNA) molecules are approximately 80 nucleotides in length. Lineage: Eukaryota; Metazoa; Chordata; Lepidosauria; Squamata; Sphaerodactylidae. The record is from RNAcentral.
GCUGUGGCUCAGCGGUAGAGCAUCUGCCUGGCAUGCAAAAGGCCCCAGGUUCCAUCCCCGGCAUCUCCA